This 372-nucleotide ribosomal RNA is filed under the name Triticum aestivum (bread wheat). Its description in RNAcentral is "partial small subunit ribosomal RNA". Lineage: Eukaryota; Viridiplantae; Streptophyta; Magnoliopsida; Poales; Poaceae. The record is from RNAcentral.
GCUCGGUCUAUAUGGUCAGUCAUUCAGAUAGCUUCUGGCUUGUAUCCUCCUUGUAGUGUUGCUAAUGUAUUUGGCAGCUGGUUACAUGGGAUUGAUCACAGGUUUAGAACUCUUCUUAGGGUGGGAGAGCUUGCCGUUAUUUGGUCGCUUUGGCUAUGUAGAAAUGAUAAGGUUUUUAACGAUAAAAGUACUUCUCUAAUGCAGGUUAUCUAAAUAUGUACCGGGACUCUUCGUUUAUUGUUCUCUCUACAACGCGUGGACAAUCGAGACCUAUUUACGGAAGUGUGUACACGAUUGCAGGAUACGGCGAGAGAUACUUUUAUCCAACAUGGGUGGCAUCAUGAUUUUAGGAUUGACCCACCUCCGCUUUAG